AAUCGGUUAUUUAUAAAAUUGAACACACCAUCUAAUAGUUUCCACUUACAACACCAACUGGUGUAAACAAAAACAAAAUUGGUAAAUAUUCUGUAUAAAUAAAUGACUUACAUAAAUUUGUUUAAAAAAUAUUUAUCCAAAAUUACUUGGGAAGAGGGUGUUUUUUGCGCAUGCUCACUGUCGAAACAUGAAGGCCUGAUAUUUGGUAACUUUUCAUUACUUGAUCAGGAAUGACUGUUGCAGCUUUUUGGGGAAGGUUUCAAUAUAAUAAUAUCAAGAAAAUUUUGUAAAUGACAAAGUGUUCGAAUUUAUCAUCAGUCAACAUUCAUACAGUCCCCUUUUUACAUACCCCUUUCUGGGCCUCACUUCGUGUGAGUUUGUUUACUAAAUAUAAAUUUAAAUUAUGUAAAGUUUUCAGCAAAGGUUAAGCUUUAUUUUGAUACCGACCGUUGAUUACAAUUUGCAGAAAUAAAAAAGGUACAGGUAAAAAACCUCAUUUUCUGUUCGGGUUUAUCAUCAGUACCAGUACAGCAGAAUCUAUGACAAUUGGAAAAGAAAAGUACAAUAACACAGGAAAAGUGGUGUUUUAAAUUGUCACUUUUUGUUGUAAUAGCAACUAAAAUAGACCUCCUGAAAAAUUUUACGUGUAAUUUACAAUAAAAACUACUUUUUUUCAUUCUCACUACUGUACUCUCAGUACUGGCAGACAGCAUACUGGUAGGCUACUAAAUAAAUGAAAAAUUCUUUGUUUAUAUUUUUCAGGACAACCUCCAGCAGUUACCAGUAUGAGAUAUAAAGGUUCACUGCAGUUUUGACUAUGCUGAACAAGUACUACAGUACACAUACUAUGCUCAGCAAGUGGAGUUGCUGUGAGUUCUCGUGCAGGCUCUCAGAUUUUCUACCUAGUGUAUGAAAAGUACAGUACUGCUGUUGGAAGAGGAGCAAACAGUAUGGUAUCUAUGGUCCACCAUCACUUCAAGCAUCAUAACUAUGGAUAAAGGAAGGUUUCAUUACAUAUGGAUAAUUAUAUUGGACAAAAUAAGAAAAGUGUUCUAAUAAGUUCUGGAAUGUGGCUUGUUAUGAUGGGUCUAAAUGACUGACUUGGAGUACAACCUGAUGGAGGCCGGGCUUGCAGAAUUCAGUCCUGAACAUGUUUAGAAUGUCUUCUGCCUGACCUGGUAUAGUAUUCUUGAAGAAUUAUACCUUCAACACAGAGACAGAGAUUAAUAUUUUAGGCAGGGGAUUGGCAUGACAGGCUAAUUCUCCAACCAUAUUACCAUUCCUCAGCUGGAUGCCAGUCGACAGUGGUACCUGUAUAAUGAAAUAGCGCCCCUUUGCAGCAACAGCAAUGUAUGCUCAAAACUAGCAGUGCCAAAGCCAUUAAAAUUGAGAACUCUGUCAUUUAAAACGAAGAAUGAAUGGAAAAAAGUGUUUAACAUUUAAAGUAGUACAGAGAAAGAGCUUAGCUCAUUUGGUAUUUUCUGAAAUUUUAGUAAUUUGAAAGUGUUUUUGAUUUUUUAAAGGUGUACUAGACCCAAAUUCCAUAUAUAUGAAUAUGAACAAAUGCUACAUAUAUAGUUAUGUAAACAUUGAAAUUACCAAGUUUAUGGUGUCAGCAGUAGUAUGCAUUGGUUAAAUAUAGACACACUGUAUGUAUGUAAGGCUGAACACAAUAUAAAUGUGAAAUUCCUCUAAGACACUGGAAGAUUUUUCAUCAAUACUGUUUAGUACUGCAUGACAUAAAAU
Molecule: long non-coding RNA, 1746 nt
Organism: Mercenaria mercenaria
Lineage: Eukaryota; Metazoa; Mollusca; Bivalvia; Venerida; Veneridae
Exons: 4
Source: RefSeq, a predicted model, not a curated record